RNAcentral lists this long non-coding RNA (1029 nucleotides) under Ricinus communis (castor bean). RNAcentral describes it as "long non-coding RNA (RCOM_LNC000184)". The record is from RNAcentral. Lineage: Eukaryota; Viridiplantae; Streptophyta; Magnoliopsida; Malpighiales; Euphorbiaceae.
AACGUGUCAAAAUGAAGCGCUACGUCAUGUCUACCUAGACUCUGCUUAAACGGUGAGUUUUGCACAAUACAUCUGCUUUUUGCAAAUUAACUUAUUAAAAUCCUAAAAAAAAAACUCCAUGACUUCUUUACCAAAUCCAACUUAAUAAAAAAAAAAAAAAAAAAAAAAAAAAGAAUUGUCAUUUCAAUUUCUCUCAUCUCCCUGCCAAUGUUUAUUUUCAGCCGAACCAAGAGGCGCAACCACCAUACAACUCAAGCCCAUGUCCUGCGAAUAUGUUCACAUCCAUCUUGAAGACUAUUGAUGUCGAGGAGAGAAAAAUCAACGUUGAAGUUUAUGGUGGCCGCUUCUUCCUUUUUUUUUUUCAAAUUAUGCCAUUAUCCGCCACUGAUCAACGCCCAUCACCUUCAGCAGCAAGUUCCCUAGCCUUAACUCUCUCACUUCCUCAAGUUACAGUGCCUGCCUCGAUCUCCUAUAUCCUCUACCAGUGAUGGUGCAAGACAAACUUUUAUUUCUACUCUUUUUUUUUUUUUUUUUGCUAAUGUUUCUUUAAUUUUUCUAUUAGUAGAGCGAAAUCUUGAAGCAUUGGUAUAUUUUAUUGGAUUUCGUAGUUGAUCUAAUUGAACUCCAUAUUUUUUGUUUCCAAAGUGUUAUGCUCUGUUUUUGGAUUUUGGCCGAUACUUUUGUGUUCUUUUUGCUUUUUGUUUACCUGCUUUUAUUGGCUGUUUUUUUCUUUUAAUAUUUUGUUUAAUCUUUAGCUCUGUUUUUCUGUUUUUUUCUUAAAUUUAAAAAUUGUGUUAAAUACUUAAAAAAAACCGCUAAAGGUUAGAAAUUUAAUUUACAAUUAGGGUCCAAAAUGGCUCAAAAAAGUGCAAACUUUCUUUCCCCUCACAUUUAUAGGGUAGAGCUACUGUCUGUGGAUUGUGAAAAGACUUGCUAUGAUCGCACGUAUACUAAUCUGCUUCUAGAAGUUUCUUAUGCAGAAACUUUCACAUGAAACAAGAAUCCCCAAGGGCAAUCCAUCCUCUANNN